AGUGCUUGACCAUAGCGCUGGCUCAAACUCAUCUUGUCUGUCUCUUCAGCGACCUCGGAGGUAACAUUUUCGGCAGAAUAGUAGAAACAGCGAGCCAAGUACGAAACCUCCUUGUUGGAAGCCGGGUCUAGGUCACCUUCACGCAACACAUCGGGGAAAGUAGAAACCAGCCCGAAUUUUCUCUUCUUUGAACGAGGGGUACC
RNAcentral lists this long non-coding RNA (203 nucleotides) under Citrus maxima (pomelo). RNAcentral describes it as "long non-coding RNA (CMAX_LNC003888)". The record is from RNAcentral. Lineage: Eukaryota; Viridiplantae; Streptophyta; Magnoliopsida; Sapindales; Rutaceae.